GCAUUGGUGAGCGCCUGCCCUGAUGAUGGUCCACUUUCAUAAGGUUAAAAUGGAGAAAGCAUAUAGGAUUUCGAGUCCUUACCUAGUCGUGAUACCAUUGAAAUUUAGGACCCUUUGAGAUCUUCAUCAGUUUCACUGUGACAGACGUGACGUUGUCACUAGUCUAGAAUACUAGGAGCUACUACCCCCCAAUCUCGCCCUCAGUCCUGAGGUUGUGGUACGAAGAGACCAUCGCACAGGUUACGAAAGGGCACUUUGCCAGAAACAAUGCCCGAACGCAGAUACCAUCAAUCCUAGACCAAAUGUCCAAGAUGCGAAACAUUUAAUGUUGCUAGCAACGAGCCCCUGUGGACACUUUUUUAUUUGAUGAUCGGACGUCCUGGCAGUAUUGGUUUUAAAGGACACAGCUUGUCUGCAAAAAAAAAAAAAAAAAAAAAAAAUGUAGAAUGGUAAUGAAGAGCGUUGUACUGAAUGUAAGAGGAAUACAAUCCAAUGUACUCGAGUCUUUUAUUUAUUGAGGAUUUUUGCGCUUCAUAGGUCACAGAUAUGAAUCGGGUGUAAUUGCAUUUAAUAAGUUUUUCACUUAUGACGGGAAAACAUUUUUUCACAAUAGCUUAAGAAAAGUUAAGAUAAAACUGAAGUUCAGUAUGAUCAGUCAUUAUUCCAGUGUUCAAUUGAAUAAGAUGAACUGUGUUUCCGUGUGAAAAACUUAAGCCUGCCUUUACAGUUAUUAUUAAAAUUUCAAAUAGAAUAUCCAGUUGCUUUAUCCACAUUCUAAAUGCAGACAGUUUUUCGCUCGCAAAACAAUGGUGGUACCACCACUUAUGGUCGUCUGUGUUUUAUUUCAAUCUUAGUGAUGUAGUCAUUUUUCAAAUUUGUGCUUUUGAUGAUGUGGAGAUAUUCGUCAGUAUAGCAUUUGAGAAGAUCAUAAGCCGCACACUAACCUCAAGUAACCCGCGCAUUACUAAUAUUACUAAUAUAUUAUGAUUUUCUCAAGUGUUAUAGUUGACAAAUAUAUCCAAUUCAUCAUAUAUGCACCUUUUUUCUCCGAACCCGAAAAAUUCGAAUUGAAAUUUGCAUGGACGGUCAUACAGUGUAAUGUGAAACCUAAAAUAUGUAGAAGAAAGCUUGCUUUAUUCUUUAUUUAUAUCAUACAGAUAGUUGCGAUGUCAGGGCAAAAUUACAUUUGAGAAACUUCUGUUUUAAACAGUGAUAAGUUAAUUUCAAUCAUUGAGUUGUCUGGGUAAUAAUAAUAUUACCUGAACUUUUGUAUAUUUUAUCACGAGAGAGAACUAUACCAGGUUUUGAUGUAUGCUUUCUGUUUUAAAAGGAUCGAGUUACUUUAUUUAUGACUUCAUAUUCCUAGAUGAAGUUAAAAUAAGCCCUGGUUUAAUUGUGUUAAGACUUAGUAAAUGUCUUGUCUUCAGUACCUUUUUCAGUAGGAAUUACAUGUACUUUGGUAAAUUCUUGUACUUCAUUUUGUGUACCAGUCUAAUGUAUACAGAGAAUAGUUUGUAGCACGAGCAAAACUUUAUUCAGUUGCACCAUGCUGUAUUAUAUAUGGACAAUAUUUAUGAACUGUAAAGCGCCGGGCCAAUAAAAAAAACUGUUUCAAGAAGCAUCCGGGCGUGGGCAUUUUCCCAGCAUUCCCCACGAAGGGUUUAGACGGGUUUUUCCCCACGGCCCGAGGGCAUCGGGUACUACCAUUUAUUGAUUCAUUGCAUGUACAUGAUUCAUUUAUGAUUACUAAAGUACUUG
This 1758-nucleotide long non-coding RNA is filed under the name Lingula anatina. RNAcentral's name for it is "uncharacterized LOC106168623". The record is from RNAcentral. Lineage: Eukaryota; Metazoa; Brachiopoda; Lingulata; Lingulida; Lingulidae.